Molecule: ribosomal RNA, 396 nt
Filed under: uncultured bacterium
Lineage: Bacteria
Description: bacterial SSU rRNA
Rfam family: Bacterial small subunit ribosomal RNA
Source: RNAcentral
AUUGAACGCUGGCGGCAUGCUUUACACAUGCAAGUCGAACGGUAACAGGGAGCUUGCUCCGCUGACGAGUGGCGAACGGGUGAGUAAUGCAUCGGAACGUACCGUGUAAUGGGGGAUAACGUAGCGAAAGUUACGCUAAUACCGCAUACGCCCUGAGGGGGAAAGUGGGGGACCGCAAGGCCUCACGUUAUACGAGCGGCCGAUGUCGGAUUAGCUAGUUGGUGGGGUAAAGGCCUACCAAGGCGACGAUCCGUAGCGGGUCUGAGAGGAUGAUCCGCCACACUGGGACUGAGACACGGCCCAGACUCCUACGGGAGGCAGCAGUGGGGAAUUUUGGACAAUGGGGGCAACCCUGAUCCAGCCAUGCCGCGUGAGUGAAGAAGGCCUCGGUUGUAA